AUGCAUCUUUGACAAACCUGGAGCAAUUAAUGACUGCUUCUGAGGUUUCCACUACAGAUGCAAGAGAAAAUAUCUUCACACUUUGUCUGAAUGUGGCAGCCAAGUUUCAAUGAGGGAAUACAGGA
Molecule: small nucleolar RNA, 125 nt
Organism: Choloepus didactylus (southern two-toed sloth)
Lineage: Eukaryota; Metazoa; Chordata; Mammalia; Pilosa; Megalonychidae
Product: small nucleolar RNA SNORA31
Exons: 1
Source: RefSeq, a predicted model, not a curated record